AGGCAGCCUUCUUGCCACGAUAAUUAAAUGGCAUGAGAGGUGUUAAACUGCUCGUAUAUAAAAUUCUUUUGCUCUUCAGACUUGCUGAAAUUAUUUUGAAGCUGGUCUAGUAAGCUCAAGUACAUU
Vigna unguiculata (cowpea) is the source of this 126-nucleotide small nucleolar RNA. RefSeq annotates it as small nucleolar RNA snoR77. Lineage: Eukaryota; Viridiplantae; Streptophyta; Magnoliopsida; Fabales; Fabaceae. The record is from RefSeq and is a predicted model, not a curated record.